This 486-nucleotide ribosomal RNA is filed under the name uncultured organism. RNAcentral describes it as "bacterial SSU rRNA". It matches the Rfam family "Bacterial small subunit ribosomal RNA", at positions 98 to 615 of the family's 1533-position model. The record is from RNAcentral.
GCGGACGGGUGAGUAACGCGUAAGAACCUGCCCUUGGGAGGGGAACAACAGCUGGAAACGGCUGCUAAUACCCCAUAGGCUGAGGAGCAAAAGGAGGAAUCCGCCCAAGGAGGGGCUCGCGUCUGAUUAGUUAGUUGGUGAGGCAAUGGCUUACCAAGGCGACGAUCAGUAGCUGGUCCGAGAGGAUGAUCAGCCACACUGGGACUGAGACACGGCCCAGACUCCUACGGGAGGCAGCAGUGGGGAAUUUUCCGCAAUGGGCGAAAGCCUGACGGAGCAAUGCCGCGUGAAGGCAGAAGGCCCACGGGUCAUGAACUUCUUUUCUCGGAGAAGAAAAAAUGACGGUAUCUGAGGAAUAAGCAUCGGCUAACUCUGUGCCAGCAGCUCUUGGUAAGACAGAGGAUGCAAGCGUUAUCCGGAAUGAUUGGGCGUAAAGCGUCUGUAGGUGGCUUUUCAAGUCCGCCGUCAAAUCCCAGGGCUCAACCC